GCGUUUAGCUCAGCUGGUUUAGAGCAUCUGCCUUACAAGCAGAGGGUCGGCGGUUCGAUUAUGAGCCGUUCUACAACGUA
RNAcentral lists this transfer RNA (80 nucleotides) under Crassvirales sp. RNAcentral's name for it is "tRNA-Val". The stretch from base 6 to 70 matches the Rfam family "tRNA", at positions 8 to 63 of the family's 71-position model. From Rfam's summary of the family: Transfer RNA (tRNA) molecules are approximately 80 nucleotides in length. Their secondary structure includes four short double-helical elements and three loops (D, anti-codon, and T loops). The record is from RNAcentral. Lineage: Duplodnaviria; Heunggongvirae; Uroviricota; Caudoviricetes; Crassvirales.